This 539-nucleotide ribosomal RNA is filed under the name uncultured bacterium. RNAcentral's name for it is "bacterial SSU rRNA". It matches the Rfam family "Bacterial small subunit ribosomal RNA", at positions 9 to 526 of the family's 1533-position model. The record is from RNAcentral.
GAGUUUGAUCCUGGCUCAGGACGAACGCUGGCGGCGUGCCUAACACAUGCAAGUCGAACGGAGUUAAAUUCGACACCCGAGUAUCCGGCCGGGAGGCGGGGUGCUGGGGGUUGGAUUUAACUUAGUGGCGGACGGGUGAGUAACGCGUGAGUAACCUGCCUUUCAGAGGGGGAUAACGUUCUGAAAAGAACGCUAAUACCGCAUAACAUCAAUUUAUCGCAUGAUAGGUUGAUCAAAGGAGCAAUCCGCUGGAAGAUGGACUCGCGUCCGAUUAGCCAGUUGGCGGGGUAACGGCCCACCAAAGCGACGAUCGGUAGCCGGACUGAGAGGUUGAACGGCCACAUUGGGACUGAGACACGGCCCAGACUCCUACGGGAGGCAGCAGUGGGGGAUAUUGCACAAUGGGGGAAACCCUGAUGCAGCAACGCCGCGUGAGGGAAGAAGGUUUUCGGAUUGUAAACCUCUGUUCUUAGUGACGAUAAUGACGGUAGCUAAGGAGAAAGCUCCGGCUAACUACGUGCCAGCCGCCGCGGUAAUUC